AGACCCGAAACCCGGUGAUCUAGCCAUGGGCAGGUUGAAGGUUGGGUAACACUAACUGGAGGACCGAACCGACUAAUGUUGAAAAAUUAGCGGAUGACCUGUGGCUGGGGGUGAAAGGCCAAUCAAACCGGGAGAUAGCUGGUUCUCCCCGAAAGCUAUUUAGGUAGCGCCUCGUGAAUUCAUCUCCGGGGGUAGAGCACUGUUUCGGCUAGGGGGCCAUCCCGGCUUACCAACCCGAUGCAAACUGCGAAUACCGGAGAAUGUUAUCACGGGAGACACACGGCGGGUGCUAACGUCCGUCGUGAAGAGGGAAACAACCCAGACCGCCAGCUAAGGUCCCAAAGUCAUGGUUAAGUGGGAAACGAUGUGGGAAGGCCCAGACAGCCAGGAUGUUGGCUUAGAAGCAGCCAUCAUUUAAAGAAAGCGUAAUAGCUCACUGGUCGAGUCGGCCUGCGCGGAAGAUGUAACGGGGCUAAACCAUGCACCGAAGCUGCGGCAGCGACACUCAGGUGUUGUUGGGUAGGGGAGCGUUCUGUAAGCCUGUGAAGGUGGCCUGUGAGGGUUGCUGGAGGUAUCAGAAGUGCGAAUGCUGACAUAAGUAACGAUAAAGCGGGUGAAAAGCCCGCUCGCCGGAAGACCAAGGGUUCCUGUCCAACGUUAAUCGGGGCAGGGUGAGUCGACCCCUAAGGCGAGGCCGAAAGGCGUAGUCGAUGGGAAACGGGUUAAUAUUCCCGUACUUGGUGUUACUGCGAAGGGGGGACGGAGAAGGCUAUGUUGGCCGGGCGACGGUUGUCCCGGUUUAAGCGUGUAGGUGUGUGUUCCAGGUAAAUCCGGUUCACUUUAACACUGAGGCGUGACGACGAGGCACUACGGUGCUGAAGCAACAAAUGCCCUGCUUCCAGGAAAAGCCUCUAAGCAUCAGGUAACAUCAAAUCGUACCCCAAACC
Molecule: ribosomal RNA, 947 nt
Filed under: Salmonella enterica subsp. enterica serovar Virchow
Lineage: Bacteria; Pseudomonadati; Pseudomonadota; Gammaproteobacteria; Enterobacterales; Enterobacteriaceae
Description: partial 23S ribosomal RNA
Rfam family: Bacterial large subunit ribosomal RNA
Source: RNAcentral